This is a long non-coding RNA of Papaver somniferum (opium poppy), 4192 nucleotides long. RefSeq lists it as uncharacterized. Lineage: Eukaryota; Viridiplantae; Streptophyta; Magnoliopsida; Ranunculales; Papaveraceae. The record is from RefSeq and is a predicted model, not a curated record. The transcript has 9 exons.
AGAAAUCGUAAUAGUGGCGAGAAAGGCGUCUUUUUCUUUUCCCAUUUCGUUCUUCAUUACUUCGUAUAUGGGGGUUGUUCUAUUCAGUACAUGAAUUGUGGAUGAUUAGUUUUCAGUAUUUCCUUUCCGAACCCUAAUUUUGGGUUUAAUUCUUUUCAGAUUAAUGAUUGACUCAGAUUGAAUAGGAAAGCAAGACUGGUGUCAUUGUGCAACUUAAGGUAUUAUUUUGAUAACAACCUUGGGAAAACAUGGGAGAAGCUGUUUACUAGGAAGACUACUAAUGGUUUUUACUGUUGCCUUCAAGAACCCUGGACAUCAUUGUUUGUUCUGCUUGGCCAUAUAGACAUAUAGUGGUGCUAUUAUGGUAUUGAAUAAUCAAAGGGGUAGCAAUUCUCAAUGGUCUAUUGCUGUUUAAGCCAUUGCAGCUGGUACAGAUUGGACAAGUGCAGGUAAGCGUUUUGUACAAUAAUUUAUUGCACACUCAUUCCUCAUUGAUUUCAGGUGAAUACAAGAGUCAGCUAUUAAUAUUUUGCUGAUAAGAUUUGCUAAUUUAAAAUCAAAUCUUUCUUUGGUUGUUGGUUUGUGUACAUUUUACUUGCUGUCUGUGGUCUAUAAUGGCACACUAUGCACAUGCUUGCCCGCCUAAGUAUAUAAUUCAGAGAAUCCAUGAGAAUGUGUAAUCACAAGAUAGUGACUCUCCCUUGAUUGCAGUUAUAAGAUGGCCAAUCUAAGCCAUGAAGUAGGUGGUAAGGUUGUUAUAUAUCGUGAAUGACAUAGUGAUGCAGUUAUGAUCCCAAAUGGUGUAGACUGUAGACAUAUUCUAACAUUGGUAAAGCACAAAGAUAGGAACAGCCUUAUAUAGCAUUUCCAAGGUUGAUAUGCGAUGGAUCUUAAUGAGUUUCUUAUUUAUGGUUGGGACGUUUGCAAUCCCGUGUGCUUUAGGUGGUGUUCUUAAUGUACUUUUUCAAGGGAUAAUGCUGGAUAUGUCAAAAUGUGCAGAACUUAAUUUCACUAGUUUAGUUUGGCUAAGCAUUUUAAAUGAAAAAUUUAGAGGUUGUGGGAGUUUUUAGAUGAACUAAACACAAACAUGUUUGAUCAGAUUGUAGCAUACAUGUCAGGUAAUAAUUCAUGGAUGGAACAACCGAACAGGAAACAAAGAACAAAAAAAAACAAAAACGGCAUGGUAUCCUUGAUGAUCUGUGCACUCUUGAAGGUUAAAGGGGUGUUUACUGGCCUAAAAGAUCCUUCAAAUCCUGAAAUUACAUGUAACCAGCAGACAAUAUUAAGUUUGAAUUUUAUUAGCGAAUCAGCACUGUUUUGCUUAUUAAGAAAUAAGAGAAAAAAAUGUUCAUUACGGCAGUCUACUAUCCAUUUAAUGGGUGCAGGAAAAUACUCAAAAACAUGCAUCCUGACAAGCAUGAAACUCCCUGGAAUCUAUAGCAUAAUUAUGUGCUGACAUGAGAAAUUGAGCGUUAUUUUCUUCUUUCAGUUAAUUAAUUUUUACUGUUUCAUUUUUGUCAGAGUUUAUGUUUGCUAAAAGUGUGUGUGGUUUCCUGCAUCAUAAAGGUGUCUUUAAACUUCCAUCUUUGCUCAAAGUCUCGAUGGAUGUUUCCAAGGGAAUGAAUUAUUUGUAUCAAAACAAUGUAAUCCAGUGUGAUUGAAGGCUGUUAAUCUUCUAAUGGAUGAGAAGGAGGUGAAGGAGACCUAAAUGACAAUAUUUAUUCCGUUUUUGUGUAUCAAGCUAUUGAGGCUGCUGAUUUUGGUGUUGGCAGAGUGCAAGUUCAACUGGAACAUAACAUUGGAUGGCUGCAAGGGGAAAUCAAUUCGAAGCAAGAAAUCGAGUUAUAAGAAUCCUGGUUAUUGUUUGGCGCAGAGAAUAGGGAAGAAAUAUGAUCUUGCUGCCAUCUUUUCAAGUGAUUUUAAUGGAUAAAAUAUCGAGUAUUCAUAUAUACGAUCAAGAGAUAUGGGGUUUGCUUUGGAUGCGAAUUCUCUGCAGGGAAAUCAAUUUGAAGUAACUAAUUGAGACAUGAAGAUAAAAACAAUACCACCAGUUGAAAGACACAAAGUAUUUGAAAGAAAGCCUGAACCAUUACCAGCUUAGUUCCAUUACGUCAUUGUCAUGGGUACGAGGUAGAAUUUGAAGUGGAUGUGGAACUGAAGGUUGGUUAGGGUAAAUGGUUCGAUGUAGAGGACGAUAUCAUUCCUGCUCUUGAGAAAGGUGCUAGCUGUUUAGUGGAGAGCAGCGUACGGAUUCAGUCAGUAUCAUAGGUGGUGGUUUUGGCGGUAUCUCAGUCUCUCUCGCUCUUCAUGAUGCCUCCAUUCAGGUUGCGGGAAAUUAGCAAAGGUAUGGACAAGGUUACCCCCAGUUAAUAUCAUGGCUAACAGUGGAUGGUUAUGAUGGGGAUUGCAUUACGAAUCUGAUCAUAUGGGGAGGUAAAUCUUGCUUCUGUCACAUACUAAGACAAGUCUUUUUAAUCACGGACCUGUGGCGCAAUGGUAGCGCAUCUGACUCCAGGUCAGAAGGUUAUGUGUUCGAUUCACGUUAGGUCUAACUGUCGAUAUUUAACAGUGUUCUUCAAAUAAUUCGAGUGUUGUUUUCUACUCUAGUUGAGAUUCUUACAGUUUAGACUGUUAUCUUGGUUUUUGUAUAUAAGUUGUACUGAGCAGGCAGGAAACUUAUGCUCUGUAUGCAAUGCAUAUUUUACACGUGUGAGGUAAGUCAGUUUGGUAUGCCGUGAAUUCAUUAUUUUUGUUGGUCGUAAUGUCGCUGAACACUUUGUUACAGACUCUUCGAAUAUGUUCUUACUACAUAAACUAAAUUGUGGAGGUUACUGUAGAGGUCAUAACCAUAUUGCCCAAUUCCAGAGUCGAGGCAUCCUUAUAUUAAGUUUGAGAUGCAUCAGUGGUAUUUGUUAAACUUCUGAUGAAGUCUUGAUACAGUUUGAAAAUCUCUACUCAUUAGGUUCAUAAUUCUAAAUUUAAGUUUAUGUAUAUGUUGUAGUUCUAUUCAAAAAAUUGUUACCUGCAAUCAAUACCACUAAAUCUAAUGAUAUUUCCAAUAAUAUACAUGAUCAUUGAUUUGGCUAGAUUCAUAUUGGAAAACCCCAUAUUUGUUAAAAACAUUCUCAAUAAACUGAAAUUUUCUACAUGCCUUUUCAGACUAUUUACAUUGAUGUUUCACUUUUGAAUUGACUGAAAUCAAGAUUCUGAUUCGAUAACCCUAUACGAACAAUGUAUCAUUUACACUUCUUGAAGAGUGUGUUAUCAAUAUUGAGGGGAUUUUGCGGGUUAAGAUCUGAGAAUAGAGCCAUGUAAAACUAUUGAGUUCUCCUCCUGUGGAUUAUCCCAGUGAAGUUUGUAGAUGGUCUUUGUUGGCUAAUUAUUCUACAUAUUUUCUACCUUAUUGGAGGGUUCAUGGACAGACACAAAUAGUGCCGAGCAACCCAAGGUGAAGUUCGAGGUGGUAGUCCCAGGUGAGAUAUGCUUUGACAAAUUUGUAGGACUUCAUUUGCGUCUUUUUAUCGGUAUCAUUUUCUUGAAUAUAGGUGUACGUCGUCAUCUGUGGUGCAAACCAGAUUCAGGCAGACUCGGAUAUAAGCAUAGCACCACUAACUGGAGGAUUGCGUAGGUUCUUUAAAGGGGACAAAAGCAUCUACGGCGACAAAGAAACAAGACAAACAAGACAUAACAGAGGUCCAGGUACGCUGUAGAGUUUCAGUGAAAAAUCACUUUUUUUUGGAAAUACGCGUUCAGGUAUACUUUCCGGUGGUAGUAGCAUAAUGUAUUGUAUUGCGGAGUUACAACUAAUUCCCAGCUUUUGAUCCAAUAAAUGGUGUCUCCAUUGUAUUGUGGAUUUACAACUGAUUCCCGGCUUUUGAUCCCAUAAGUGGAGUCUCCAUAAUAAGGCGCCUCAUCGUAUCCCGCUUGCCAAUUUACUAUCAUAAAGGUGACAUGGGAAGUUUUAGAAUUUGUACAGAUGAACCCGGAGAUGCAUCGUUUUAGAAAUGGUUCAGGACGCUUCACCACUUCCUUGUGCUAUAUAGAACUUAAGAGAUUGCAAUUGCUUCACUAUCCAAAUCCAAAUGAAAUAAAUGCAUUUCAGCCAUCAUGAAGAAAGCUUAUAAUUACAUAUUUGUAGUUUUGAGGUUACCACGUUCGCUUGCAAAACUCACAUGAUACUAAAAUUUUGACA